AGAACGAACGCUGGCGGCAGGCCUCAAACAUGCAAGUCUAGGGGGCGUAGCAAUACGUCACCGGCGGACGGGUGCGUAACACGUGGGAAUGUACUUAUUGGUUCGGAACAACUCAGGGAAACUUGAGCUAAUACCGAAUGUGCCCGAAAGGGGAAAGAUUUAUCGCCAGUAAAUCAGCCCGCGUCCGAUUAGCUAGUUGGUGGGGUAAAGGCUCACCAAGGCAACGAUCGGUAGCUGUUCUGAGAGGAAGAUCAGCCACACUGGGACUGAGACACGGCCCAGACUCCUACGGGAGGCAGCAGUUGGGAAUCUUGGACAUGGGGAACCUGAUCCAGCCAUGCCGCGUGAGUGAUGAAGGCCUUCGGGUUGUAAACUCUUUCGACGGGACGAUAUGACGGUACCGUAGAAGAGCUCCGGCUAACUUCGUGCCAGCAGCCGC
Molecule: ribosomal RNA, 439 nt
Filed under: uncultured bacterium
Lineage: Bacteria
Description: SSU rRNA
Rfam family: Bacterial small subunit ribosomal RNA
Source: RNAcentral